CAGAGGUGGAUUUGGAACUGGAGUUCAAUGCGACCUCCACAGUACCUAUCCCCAAGGGCAGUGACAUUGUUGAAACAUUGAAAGAGGCUGUGACCAAUCCAAACUCUAACUUCAACUUAUCUUUGGAUCUGAACUCCAUCACUGUGAUAAGGACCUCAAGCACAGCCACAAAUGUCUCGACAAAUACAACAGCUACACCUGUUGCAACAUCAACAACAAAAGGAAUCACAACCACUACUUCCAUCUCAGUCGCUGUUCCUGUUACCACAGUACCUGGUUCUGCCAUCACAAUACCAACUGGAGAACCCAUCACUGUUCCUGUUACUGGUUAUACAACUACAACCACAUCUGUGGCCCCCUCAACUACUGUUUCAAGCACAGCACCAACAUUGGCUAUGACAACUACCAGCACAACUCCAACAACUACUUCUACUACUACGACAACAACUACCACAACGACUGCACAUCUUGCAGUGGUUACAUUACAAGUCACCAUACAAGAGGUUUUUGUACCAGCUUUGAGUAAUCCUCAAAGCACAGAAUUUCAAACACUUGCGGUAACCAUUACUUCAGUGUGUGACGUGAUCUAUCGAGCAAAAUAUGGGAUAUUUUUCAUCCGGACGAUUGUCAUUUCAUUCAUACCAGUGUUCCGUUCUCGUAUGGCAGCAGACACACAGGUGGAGCUGGAAGUGGUGUUCAAUGAGACCGCCAUUGCAACUAUCGCUCAUGCAACUAUGCCCAAGGACAUUGACAUUAAAGACACACUGAAAGAGGCUGUGACCAAUCCAAACUCUACCUUCAACCUCUCUGUGGUUCCAAACUCCAUCACUAUUAUCAGGACCCCAAUUAUAACCACAAAUUUCACAACAAAUACAGUGGCUACUCCUAUCAUCAUCAUAACCGAUAUGAACACAAUGACUGCCCCUACCACCACAACUGCUGUGACCACAAUGACCACGCCAACCACCACAAGCGCUCCAUCCACCACAACCGUUGCAGCCACCAUUACACUUACUACAGUGCCUGUGGAGUUCACUUCUAGAGAGACAUUUACCUCCGACCUAUCAAACUCAUCCUCUCAGGCCUUUCAAACUCGAGCAUCACUGAUUAAAACACAGCUUGAACCUUUCUAUCAAUCAGCUUUCACAUCAUUCAACAGUUUGACAGUGACCGAAUUCAGAAAUGGAUCAAUCAUCAACACUAUGAAUUUAGCAUUUAGAUCUUCUGUCCUCAAUUCCACGAAGAUUGGGACCAUUUUAAUAAAUUCUGCACAGAAAAUCACAGCUUUCAACAUUGUCACCACCACAAUUAAGGUCAAUGGCACAGGUGGUCCUACAUCUGCUGUUCCUACUACAACUACUGAGGCUGGCACAACCAUCACAAAACCAACUGGAAAACCUGCCACUGUUCCUGUGACUGGGCCUGCAACUACAACAACAUUUGUGGCCCCCACAACUACAGUUUCAAGCACAGAAUCAACAUUAACCAUGAAGACUACCAGGACAACCACUACCUUAACACCAACUACAACAACAACAACAACGCCAAUAACAACCAAAACAACUACACAUCCUGUCGUGUUUACAUUAAAACUCACAAUUGAAGUUUUAUAUGUACCAGCAUUGACCAACACUGAAAGCACAGAAUUUCAAACACUUGCACUAACCAUUACUUCAGAGUGUGAUGAGAUCUACCAAUCAAAAUAUGGGAUCAUUUUCAUCCAGACGAUCGUCAUUGCAUUCUUACCUGUGUCCCGACGUUCCCUUAUGCCAGCAGAAACACAGGUGGAAAUGGAAGUGGUAUUCCAACAGAUCUCCGCAGAAUCUAGGAUGAGUAAUGACAUUGAAAAUACACUGAAAGAGGCUGUGACCAAUCCAAACUCCAACUUCAAUGUCUCUGUGUAUCCGGACUCCAUCACUGUUAUUAGGGUCCCAAAUACAUCCACAGGUGCCACCACAAUUACACCGGCUACUCCUGUCAUCACAACUGUUGUCCCAGCUGCUCCAACCACUACAACGGCUGCUGCCACCACAACCUCUGUGGCCACAAAUACACUCACUACAGUGUCUGUGGAGUUCACGUCCAAAGGAGAGACAUUUAUCUCCGACCUAUCAACCUCAUCCUCUCAGGCCUUUCAAACUCGAACAUCACUGAUUAAAACACAGCUUGAACCUUUCUAUCGAUCAGCUUUCACCUCUUUCAACAGUUUGACAGUAAUAAAAUUCAGAAAUGGAUCAAUCAUUAACACCAUGAAUUUAGCAUUUAGCUCCUCCGCUGUGCCAAAUUCCAAGGAAAUUGGCACCGUUUUGAUAAAGGCUGCACAAAACAUCACAGCUUUCAACAUCAACCCCACGUCAGUUACUGUCAGCGGUGAAGGUAAACAAAUAUUGUCCAUGCUUUAUGGUAAAUUCAUAUUUUGUAUGCCAUUAUCUAGAGGGUCUAUAUGGCGAAAACAAGGUUAUUGUAACAGUAACAGUAUUUGUAUUUAUUAUGGAUCCCCAUCAGCAGCUACUCUUCCUGGUGUCCAGCAAAAUUAAGGCAGUUUAUACAAUUUUAAAAACAUUACAAUACAUUCACAGAUUUCCCAACACAUUGUGUCCUCAGGCCCCUACUCCAACACUACCACAUAUCUACAGUACUAAAUCCAUGUGUAUGUGUGUGUAAAUAUUUAACAGUAAAUAUGUAGAGGCCUUAUUCACAAUAAUCAUGUUACAGGUUGGCAAAUACAUAUUUCCCUUUCAUGUUCACUUUCUCUCUCUUUAUCUAUGCAGUUGUGACCUCAAGUGGUAUAAGCAGCAAGACCAGUCUCUUCACUGCUUCCUGUCUGGUGGUGUUGUCGCUGCUGCUGUCAAGCUAGUCUCAGCAGCAAGCAGCAGUAUGAAAUAUCUUAACUUUGAAAAUGUAUUUACCUCAUGUCCCCCACUCCCAUCAUAUGUAAUGGCAACCUAUUUAAUCAGUAUUUGUUAACCUAAGUUGAUUCUCAUUAUAGUUAUAGUUAUUAUACUCAUUAUUCAAAUUGAAAUAAACAUAUUCUAAUCAAUUGGAGCUUAUUGCUGUGGUACAUUUACUUUGUCUUACAUUACAUUGAAAAGUUUAUUUUCCAACAAAAUGAGGAUUAGCAGAUUAAAAUGUAACGUCUUUAAUAAUUUAGAAGUGCAUCCCAGUCAUUUUGUACUCAUUUGAUGUGUGGCCCCAGUGGCAGAAAAUGUAUUGAAAUGUAAGAGUUGACGUUCUUCCAUGAUCAGAUAUUGUUUGGUUGUUCUGCAUAUUGUACAUUAUGCGUUUUAUAAACGUCUAAUGAUGUCACAUGCACAGUGGCGAUUUUAUCAUGUAAAUUAUGGUGGGGCAAACAUUUUUUUUUCUAGAUAGCUGCCAGCAAACCCACUAUACAACACAACACUAAACAAUACAUGAAUUGCACUGUAACAGUGUCAAAUGGUGCCCACACACUGUUAGGGCAUAAAACCUUCCAAACAGCAGAGUCCCAACACCUUAACACUGCUACACCUGGCUAUCAGCGGAGCCUUGUCUGGCAGCGAAACAGUUCAUUCAGCCUCAUUUAGUGCCUUUCAAAAACAAAUUGCUGACAUGGCUGACUUGCUUAAACAAAUGUGGUUUCUACUGACAAUUGAGGUGUACAAACUAUGGCAUAAGGGGACGACGAGUGGAUAGGAGGCAAUCCAUCAUUUUGAUUAUGACAUUAAUGAGAGCGCUAGGACGGACGUAGUCAAUGUGACGACCCUCCCACUCUGUCUGCAGUAUUCUGUCUUUGUUCUUGUUUCCUUAUUAGGAUGCCGGUGGGCGGAGUUGGGAGGGUCGUCAGCUUCAUGGGCCAGGUGUCUCCCAGGAUAAAUAGACCUCUUCCACAUUCAUGGAAGAGACUCUCUCCAUGCAGACACCUUUGUAGAUGCUGUUGUGGUUCUUGGUGGCCUUUUGUUUGUUUGCUUUGGCACCUUUCAACACCCUGCAUUCUCACAUUCAUGCAUGCAAAACACUCACUUACACUACUGAGUACACACACCAUUGUAUAUUUUCCUUAGUUGCUUUAGUUAAUAAAUAUAUAUUUUGUUACUCCUUA
Long non-coding RNA from Oncorhynchus tshawytscha (Chinook salmon), 4078 nucleotides. The record is from Ensembl. Lineage: Eukaryota; Metazoa; Chordata; Actinopteri; Salmoniformes; Salmonidae.